GUGCCCCUUAUCCGGGGUCAAAAGAGAAACCGGUGCAAAUCCGGUGCAGACCCGCUACUGUAAUUGGGGAGCGGACGUUCACGGCGAAAGCCGCCCACUGGCCGACAGGCCGGGAAGGGGACCGUCCGCGUCGAUCCAUCAGCCAGGAAACCUGCAUGG
Molecule: non-coding RNA, 159 nt
Filed under: bovine gut metagenome
Source: RNAcentral